AGGGUUUGAUCAUGGCUCAGAACGUACGCUGGCGGCACGCCUUAUACAUGCAAGUCGAACGAAGUAGCAAUACUUAGUGGCAGACGGGUGAGUAACAUGUAGGUAUCUUCCCUUUGGUGAGGAAUAACACGAGGAAACUUGUGCUAAUACCUCGUAAGUCUUUACGGAGAAAGCUUUAUGCGCCAUUGGAUGAGCCUGCACUUGAUUAGUUUGUUGGUGGGGUAAUGGCCUACCAAGACUAUGAUCAAUAGCUGAUUUGAGAGGAUGAUCAGCCACAUUGGGACUGAGACACGGCCCAAACUCCUACGGGAGGCAGCAGUAGGGAAUCUUGCACAAUGGGGGAAACCCUGAUGCAGCGAUGCCGCGUGAGUGAAGAAGGCCUUUGGGUUGUAAAGCUCUUUCGUCGGGGAAGAAAAUGACUGUACCCGAAUAAGAAGGUCCGGCUAACUUCGUGCCAGCAGCCGCGGUAAUACGAAGGGACCUAGCGUAGUUCGGAAUUACUGGGCUUAAAGAGUUCGUAGGUGGUUAAAAAAGUUGGUGGUGAAAUCCCAGAGCUUAACUCUGGAACUGCCAUCAAAACUUUUUAGCUAGAGUAUGAUAGAGGAAAGCAGAAUUUCUAGUGUAGAGGUGAAAUUCGUAGAUAUUAGAAAGAAUACCAAUUGCGAAGGCAGCUUUCUGGAUCAUUACUGACGCUGAGGAACGAAAGCAUGGGUAGCGAAGAGGAUUAGAUACCCUCGUAGUCCAUGCCGUAAACGAUGUGUGUUAGACGUUGGAAAUUUAUUUUCAGUGUCGCAGCGAAAGCAAUAAACACACCGCCUGGGGAGUACGACCGCAAGGUUAAAACUCAAAUGAAUUGACGGGGACCCGCACAAGUAGUGGAGCAUGUGGUUUAAUUCGAAGAUACGCGCAGAACCUUACCAACACUUGACAUGUGGAGCUUGGUUAUCAGAGAUGAUUUCCUUCAGUUCGGCUGGCUCCAACACAGGUGCUGCAUGGCUGUCGUCAGCUCGUGUCGUGAGAUGUUGGGUUAAGUCCCGCAACGAGCGCAACCCUCAUCUUUAGUUGCCAGCAGUUCGGCUGGGCACUCUAGAGAAACUGCCUGGGAUGACCAGGAGGAAGGCGAGGAUGACGUCAAGUCCUCAUGGCCCUUAUGGGCUGGGCUACACACGUGCUACAAUGGCGGUUACAAUGGGAUGCAAAAGGGUGACCUAGAGCUAAUCCCCAAAGGCCGUCUCAGUUCGGAUUGUUCUCUGCAACUCGAGAACAUGAAGUCGGAAUCGCUAGUAAUCGUGGAUCAGCACGCCACGGUGAAUACGUUCCCGGGCCUUGUACACACCGCCCGUCACACCAUGGGAGUUGGUUUUACCCGAAGACGAUAUCCUAACCUUUUGGAGGGAGUCGGCCACGGUAGGGUCAGCGACUGGGGUGAAGUCGUAACAAGGUAGCCGUA
This 1450-nucleotide ribosomal RNA is filed under the name uncultured bacterium. Its description in RNAcentral is "partial 16S ribosomal RNA". It matches the Rfam family "Bacterial small subunit ribosomal RNA". The record is from RNAcentral.